Molecule: ribosomal RNA, 165 nt
Filed under: Geobacillus stearothermophilus
Lineage: Bacteria; Bacillati; Bacillota; Bacilli; Caryophanales; Anoxybacillaceae
Description: partial 23S ribosomal RNA
Rfam family: Bacterial large subunit ribosomal RNA
Source: RNAcentral
AGGUUAAGCUAGAAAGGGCGCACGGUGGAUGCCUUGGCACUAGGAGCCGAUGAAGGACGGGGCAAACGCCGAAACGCUCCGGGGAGCUGUAAGCAAGCGUUGAUCCGGAGAUGUCCGAAUGGGGGAACCCACUGUCCGUAAUGGGGCAGUAUCCAUGCCUGAAUC